AGAGCAUCGGGUGGAUGCCUUGGCACUGGGAGCCGAAGAAGGACGUGAUAAGCUGCGAUAAGCUGCGGUAAGGAGCACAUAUCCGAUAUACCCGCAGAUUUCCGAAUGGGGGAACCCACAUACGGUAAUGCGUAUGUAUCAUUAAGUGAAUACAUAGCUUAAUGAAGGGAACGGGGUGAACUGAAACAUCUAAGUAGCCCUAGGAAGAGAAAGAAAAAUCGAUUUCCUGAGUAGCGGCGAGCGAAAGGGAAAGAGGCCAAACCAAAUUGUUUACAGUUUGGGGUUGUGGACCACCGACAUUGACGAAGUUAUGCGAGCCGAAUAGGGUUGGAAAGCUCAAGCAGAGAAGGUAAUACUCCUGUAGGCGAAGCAGAAAGCGCAUAGGUGGCACCAGAGUAGGACCGGACACGUGUAACCUGGUCUGAAGCAGGAGGGACCACCCUCCAAGCCUAAAUACUACCCAGUGACCGAUAGCGAAUAGUACCGUGAGGGAAAGGUGAAAAGAACCCCGGGAGGGGAGUGAAAUAGAAUCUGAAACCUGAUGCUUACAAGCAUAGGGAGCGCAAGUGACCUAGUACUUUUUGUAGAACGGGCCAACGAGUUAUGGUAUGUAGCGAGGUUAAGUUGCUGGAGCAACGGAGCCGUAGAGAAAUCGAGUCUGAAUAGGGCGAGAGUUACAUGCUGUAGACCCGAAACCGGGUGACCUAUCCAUGAGCAGGUUGAAGUAACCGUAAAAGGUUAUGGAGGACCGAACCUAUAUCUGUUGAAAAAGGUUAGGAUGACUUGUGGAUAGCGGUGAAAUUCCAAUCGAACUCGGAUAUAGCUGGUUCUCCUCGAAAUAGCUUUAGGGCUAGCCUCAAGGUAAAGAUACACGGGGGUAGAGCACUGACUGUUCGCGGGGCCUUCACCGGUUACCAACAACUAUCAAACUCCGAAUACCGUGCUAUCAUACUUGGGAGUCAGACUAUGAGAGAUAAGUUCCAUGGUCGAAAGGGAAACAGCCCAGAUCAACAGCUAAGGUCCCAAAGAGUAAGUUAAGUGGAAAAGGAUGUGGGAUUGCACAAACAGCUAGGAUGUUGGCUUAGAAGCAGCCAUACAUUUAAAGAGUGCGUAAUAGCUCACUAGUCGAGUGAUCCUGCGCCGAAGAUAAACGGGGCUCAAACUUACCACCGAAGCUUUGGAAUUAGUAUAACUAAUUGGUAGAGGAGCAUUCUAUACAGGUAGAAGGAGGCGCGUAAGCAAAUCUGGACGGUAUAGAAGAGAGAAUGUUGGCAUGAGUAGCGUAAGGCGGGUGAGAAUCCCGUCCGCCGAAAAUCUAAGGUUUCCUGAGGAAGGUUCGUCCUCUCAGGGUAAGUCGGGACCUAAGCCGAGAGCGAACGCUGUAGGCGAUGGACAACAGGUUGAUAUUCCUGUACCACCAAGGAUUGUUUGAAUGAAGUGGGGACACAGAAGGAUAGAUUGAGCACGCCGUUGGUUGAGCGUGUCCAAGCAGUAAGGCUUGAAAGUAGGCAAAUCCGCUUUCUACAAGGCUGAGCUGUGAUGGGGUGGUCGAAUGACCGGUAGCAAUCGAUUUCACGCUGUCAAGAAAAGCCGCUAAUGAGAUCCAAGGUGCCCGUACCGCAAACCGACACAGGUAGAUGAGGAGAGAAUCCUAAGGUGAGCGAGCGAACUAUUGUUAAGGAACUCGGCAAAAUAACCCCGUAACUUCGGGAGAAGGGGUGCCUGCUUCGGCAGGCCGCAGUGAAGAGGUCCAGGCAACUGUUUACCAAAAACACAGGUCUCUGCUAAAGCGAAAGCUGAUGUAUAGGGGCUGACGCCUGCCCGGUGCUGGAAGGUUAAGGGGAAGUGUUAGGGCAACCGAAGCACAGAACUUAAGCCCCAGUAAACGGCGGCCGUAACUAUAACGGUCCUAAGGUAGCGAAAUUCCUUGUCGGGUAAGUUCCGACCCGCACGAAAGGCGUAAUGAUCUGGACACUGUCUCAACAAUAGGCUCGGUGAAAUUGUAGUACCGGUAAAGAUGCCGGUUACCCGCAGCAGGACGGAAAGACCCCGUGGAGCUUCACUGUAGCUUGAUAUUGAUUUUCGGCAUUGCAUGUACAGGAUAGGUGGGAGACGUUGAGUUCAGCACGCCAGUGUUGGAGGAGUCACCGUUGGGAUACCACCCUUGUAAUGUUGGAAAUCUAACCUAGUACCGUGAUCCGGUACAGGGACAGUGUCAGGUGGGCAGUUUGACUGGGGCGGUCGCCUCCUAAAGAGUAACGGAGGCGCCCAAAGG
This 2275-nucleotide ribosomal RNA is filed under the name human metagenome. RNAcentral's name for it is "bacterial LSU rRNA". It matches the Rfam family "Bacterial large subunit ribosomal RNA", at positions 14 to 2316 of the family's 2925-position model. The record is from RNAcentral.